GCAUUGUAAAAUGUGUUUCUUUUUCAUUUCAGUUGCCUGUUGGUAAGUACAAUUGCCUUCUUUAAUUGCAUAUUGAAAUAUGUUUUAUGACUUUUAUUCUGCUAUGCUUUUUUCAUUUCAGUUUGGCAGAUGUAAGUACACUUCAUUUAUGUAAAAACUGAAUAUGAUUGUUGUGCUAUACAAAAUGUGCUUUUUUCAAUUUCAGGUCAGCAAUGGUAAGUAUAGUGUGUUUUUUUAUGUAUAAUUUUGUAUACAUAUUGUUUUUUUCAUCAUAGCAUGUCUUUUAUAUUUAUGCUUUGUGUAAGUAAAAUGUUCAUAAAUCAUUCUUAUCUUUAAACUAAAAAUGUAUUUUGAUAUGCAAAAUGUCUGUAUGAUUUCAGUUGCCAGAGGUGAGUACCAUAACAGUUGAAAAGUUAGUUUUGUUUAGUUAAAGUUUUGGUUCACAGUUUUGUUUGUUAUUUGGCAAAAUUUACAUGUAUGCAUUGAGUCUUGAUUUCAGCUCGAUUGUGGACUGAAGAAGAUUGCCAGCAGAGGGAUUGGAUACAAAAUACAAACUUUACUGCUGGACGAGUGUUCUCAACUACUAGACGAGUCAGGUUUACUACCAGGCGAGCAGUGACAACAAGGCGCCUUUGUGGAAACAACACAACAAAAAACUCUACUGCAAGACGAGCAGUGACAGCAAGGCGCCUGAACAUGCAACACAAUACAAAAAAUGCCAAUUUGCAAACCUUGAUGUGGACACCGAGUAGUCAAUACAUACGUGUGGGGUACAGCUGCGACAAAACCGUGGGUCCAUCGCACCGAUAACUUGAACAUUGGCCCGUGUAUGGACAUCAGUGCAACUUUGUGAAUCCAUGUAUCUUUGUGAAUCCAUGUAACAUUGCGAAUGUGUGUCGAUCGAAAAAUGUGUACAUUCUGAACUGAAACGAACUCGGUGUUGCAAGUGGCAAGUGUUGACAGUGUGUAUGUUUAUGUUUAUGUUUUUACAUGAAAACUAAAGGAGAUUGUUCUCCUACCUUUUUUUUCCUUGUUUUAUUGCGCUGGCCAGCAAUAUUGAUGUAUUGAUGUAUGUGUUUGUGUUUAAACUAUGCAAUACCAAAAUCAAACAAAAAAUAAACAUUAACAGUCAUUAACUGUG
This is a long non-coding RNA of Dreissena polymorpha, 1141 nucleotides long. RefSeq lists it as uncharacterized. The record is from RefSeq and is a predicted model, not a curated record. The transcript is spliced from 4 exons. NCBI's taxonomy places the organism in Eukaryota, Metazoa, Mollusca, Bivalvia, Myida, Dreissenidae.